GAUCCUGGCUCAGGACGAACGCUGGCGGCGUGCUUAACACAUGCAAGUCGAACGAUGAUGCUCCAGCUUUGUUGGGGUGGAUUAGUGGCGAACGGGUGAGUAACACGUGAGUAACCUGCCCUCUUCUUUGGGAUAACGGUCGGAAACGGCUGCUAAUACUGGAUAUUCACUCAUUGGCGCAUGUUGGUGGGUGGAAAGGUUUUUCUGGUGGGGGAUGGGCUCGCGGCCUAUCAGCUUGUUGGUGGGGUGAUGGCCUACCAAGGCUUUGACGGGUAACCGGCCUGAGAGGGUGACCGGUCACAUUGGGACUGAGAUACGGCCCAGACUCCUACGGGAGGCAGCAGUGGGGAAUUUUGCACAAUGGGCGCAAGCCUGAUGCAGCGACGCCGCGUGAGGGAUGAAGGCCUUCGGGUUGUAAACCUUUUUCGCUCAUGGUCAAGCCGCAGCUUUGGGUUGUGGUGAGGGUAGUGGGUAAAGAAGCGCCGGCUAACUACGUGCCAGCAGCCGCG
RNAcentral lists this ribosomal RNA (509 nucleotides) under Actinomyces sp. 13-605. Its description in RNAcentral is "bacterial SSU rRNA". It matches the Rfam family "Bacterial small subunit ribosomal RNA", at positions 15 to 519 of the family's 1533-position model. Lineage: Bacteria; Bacillati; Actinomycetota; Actinomycetes; Actinomycetales; Actinomycetaceae. The record is from RNAcentral.